RNAcentral lists this long non-coding RNA (40454 nucleotides) under Brachypodium distachyon (stiff brome). RNAcentral describes it as "long non-coding RNA (BDIS_LNC002570)". The stretch from base 3136 to 3208 matches the Rfam family "tRNA". The record is from RNAcentral. Lineage: Eukaryota; Viridiplantae; Streptophyta; Magnoliopsida; Poales; Poaceae.
AAGGUACUGGUUAUGGAUAAGUAUAUGUAUCUUCUUCAAAGCAUCUGUGGUCAUUUGUGCGUAGGUAUUUUUUUACAUUUUGGGAUAGUUAUUGAAGGGAGCUGGCAUCCUAGAUUCAUCGGUAGAAAUUUUUUUGCGGUAAAUUUUUUUUUUACUGAGAUUACAGUUGUUUUCUACAACAUCUAGGUAUGAAGAUGAAGCUUCCACGCUAUGACAAGGUAAAAGGUUGCAGUUAUCUUCUUGUAGCUGAUGUUUAUAUCUGAGUAGCUGCAUGAUACACCUCACAUGUCCAUGUAGUCUGCCUUUGGUGGAAGAGGUGACCGGGCUGAUCCUUCAGUAUGGCCAGAGGUUGAAGGGCCCACAGAGGUAAAUGUAAUGUUUAGAUGAAAAACAUUUUGAGCUGCGAUAUAUGUGUUUCUCAACUUUUCAUCUGUCUGUCCUAGGUUGUUCUCUUUGAAGGAUGGAUGCUUGGAUUUAAACCUCUUCCAAAUGAAGUUGUGAAAGCAGUGGACCCUCAGGUGAGUUUCUGGGGAUUAUCACAUUAUCUGAUGUUUGUUUUUACUUUAAUAUGACUGGAAUUUUCUCUCUCAUUUUCAGCUUGAGGUGGUUAAUAAGAACCUAUAUGCAUACUAUGAUGCAUGGGACAGAUUCAUCGAGUCAUGGAUUGUCAUAAAAAUUAAGGAACCUAACUGUGUAUUUCAGUGGAGAUUGCAGGUUAUUAUCAGAUUUAUCCGACUAGUGGUCUGACAGUAUGCACAAGACAUCAUGGUUGGAGUUUUCUGAUGAUGCUAUUUUAUUUGCAGGCAGAGGUAGCUAUGAGAGCAGAUGGUAAAGCAGGAAUGUCUGACGAGGAGGUGUGUUUCUCAUAUAAAUAAUUCGUUCAUUACUGUGACCUUGUAUUCCAGUUGGAUCAUUUGUUCUGCUCGCACCUUACUCAUUGUCAAGGAAAGUAGAGUGUCUUAUCUCUCUGGUCCUACAAUCCUACAUUGUCAAUACAAACCUUUCCAUCAAAUAGGAACAUUUCUUUCUGAGUUCUCAGCUGUGAGUUGUGAUCAAUCUGGAUAGUGUACCUCACAAAUCAGGGUAGUUAAAAAUAAAUAAAAGAUCAGGGCCGUUGUGCAAAAUAAAAGGAUGCCUGGAUGCAAAAGUACUUGGUUACUUACCAUUGCCACUUCACCCUAUAAUUUGGCAAUAAGUUAUCUGUUAUCAAAUCAUACAUGAUUAACUUAUGCAAUUUCCUGAGUAAAUAAUUUUAUGUGAUUCAUCAAAGCUCCUCUGAAUCGUGUGGUGUAUCCAUUGGUUAACUCAAAUGUUCCUUGCAGUGCUGAUAACUAUAAAACAUGAAUCUGGCAACUUUUGCAGGUUAUGGAUUUUGUAUCACGCUACCUACCAGCGUAUCAUGCAUAUUUGCCCACGCUAUAUAAAGAAGGACCGAAUGGCGCAAAGAAAGACCACCUGCUGGUCAUUGACAUAGACGAAGAGAGGACCCCUAUCACUGGUAGUUGAGUCCGGAAUGUACAUUCUGAAAUGGAUAUCUUGACUGGGUGGUUGAGCUUGGGAUUUCGUAUCUUUCUGAGACCAGUUAUGCCAAGCAAGCACCACCCUCCUGUUGCUUCUUACAACUUAAAAUAUACCAAGUGUGCAAACUUUAUGUAUAUCAAAUUUUGCUAUCUACUUAAUGAAAUUGGCAACCCAUUGUUCGUCCUCUGUCAACCAAUUUUGUUUGCUAUUUAUGUUAUCGAAUGUACAUUUUGCAAAAUUGCCUGCUUGUGUUCUGCGUGCAUCAUCUGAGGUCUUAGUUUAUGCAUUUUGCAAUAUGAAUGCAGUGAUGAUUUCGACAUUUUACGAUGUUGCUUGAUGAAUGGGGCGAUUCUACUUAUAAGAAUUAGCACGACGUGCUCAUAUUCUUUUAUAUUACAUUACAUACAUAUACAUAUAUAAAAGAGUCAAUUGGUGAAGGUGGUCCGUCACAUAUUCGACUUCUUUCACUAUAAAAAAAACAUAUACUCGCCUCCUUCGCCUACAACAGUGAUAUUGUUUAUUACUCUAACAAAUGCAAAUAAUAUGUGACAACAGUUUUUAACGGUGUAAUUUAUCUAUGGUAAAUAUUAAUUUGUUUUGUUUGUAGCUUUGUAGCAAGGCACAAGUAUUUUAGCUGAUUGAAAAUAUAUUUUUAUUUUUACCACGAUUGGUAUACUCUUUCUUGUUUGUGCCAUCAUAAAAGCACACAUCAUAUAUAAAAGAAGCAAUCGGUGGUGGCGGUCCGUCACUCCUUAUAUUAUAAAAAAACUUCUCAACUUUUUUAAUGUAAACAAUAAAUCUAUUGCAAUAGGCUGGGGUGAUAAUGAUGUUUGCCACCAAAGUUGAAUAAAGUCAUCAACAAAUACCAUUAAUAUGUAAUGAUAUUUUUUAGUCUAAUUUAGCCAUAGCAACUAAUUUGUUUUAUCCGUAGCAACGCACAGGUAUGUCGCUAGUAUAUAUAUACAUAUAUAAAAGAGUCAAUUGGUGACGGUGGUCCGUCACAUAUUCGCCUUCUUUCACUAUAAAAAAAACAUAUACUCGCCUCCUUCGCCUACAACAGUGAUAUUGUUUAUUACUCCUCUAAUAAAUGCAAAUAAUAUGUGACAACAGUUUUUAACGGUGUAAUUUAUCUAUGGUAAAUAUUAAUUUGUUUUGUUUGUAGCUUUGUAGCAAGGCACGAGUAUUUUAGCUGAUUGAAAAUAUAUUUUUAUUUUUACCACGGUUGAUAUACUCUUUCUUGUUUGUGCCAUCAUAAAAGCACAUUUGAGCUACUCCCUCCAAUCCAUAUUAAUUGUCGAAAUAUUACAUGUAUCUAGACGUUUUUUAAGCAUAAAUACAUCCAUAUUUGGACAAAUUUGAGACCGUUAAUAUGGAUCGGAGGGGUAUUAAUUUUCCAACUAUGAAUUAUUUUUCAAUUGACCUCUGCUAUAGCUUGUAAAUUUCAUGGAAAGAGCAUUGUACUCCGUAUAGUGAGUGAAUCCACUGUCAGAUGUUUGAAUUCCAUGCUUUCUGUUUGUAAAUAAGAAAGCGUUCUGAACUACGUAGAGCUUAUUUUGAUGAAGCUCCGGAGAUCAAUACAAUAAGUAUGUUACUAUAUGUACUAGGACAUCAAACUCCGUCGUAGUCUAGGUGGUUAGGAUACUCGGCUCUCACCCGAGAGACCCGGGUUCAAGUCCCGGCGACGGAAUAUUUUUAAGUUGCGCACUCAUUUUUCCUUGUUUUUCAUCACCCGAGCUGCCGUGACCUGCUAACCCAGAAGUUUUGCUGAAAUUUGAGACCAGACCAAUUGGCUGACAUAUGGGGACACCGGUUUUGUUCAAAUGAAUUUCAAAUGUACAGUAACUCCAAAGGAACUGAUUUUCAAGCAAAUUUUGUCAAGUUGCCUUUUGGAGUGGGCUAAAGAUAAACAAUGAACCACAGAGAAUAAACUUUCGUGUACCCCAUCGAUUUUUUUUUUGAGGGAUGUACCCAUCGAUUUUGCAGGAAACAAAACGUACAACACAAUCUUUUUUCCCCUCACGGAUUCACGUGGCAACUACACGAGCAUCCGAUGGUGGGAUAGAUGUCGGGUUCUGAUGGUAAUUUUUCUGAACCAAGUCUUGGCAUUUGAUGCCAUGUUCUGAGACCAAAACCGGGAAAGCUCAAGGUAUGCUAGGCUUAGUUUUGCACCGUUCUUGUUAUGCUGUGGUAGCUUCUCGUUCUAUUGACCCUACUCGAUAUUUUUUUUCUAUCUCCAUGGUUGACUUAUGUGGUCGAGAACAAUCGCUCACAAAGUACACUAGUACUCCCUCCGUCCCAUCUAUAAACUUUAUAAAGUUGAAUCCCAUUAAGUGCAGUUAAUUUAGCAAGCUCAACAUGCAGCCUGUCCACGUCAGCGUCCACGUCAUCCCAACUCACGCGCCCGUUCCGUUCACGUUUGUCCCGAGUCGCACCACCGUCCUUUGCACUCCCCGCGCUAUGGGUCGCUCUCGCAAUAUGGGCCGACUUCGCCAGCGUUAUGGGCAUCAGUUGCCUUUUCUUCUCCCCGAGCGCUUGCCUUUUUUUCUUCCUCUUCAUCUGAACGAUCUGCUCCGCCGCCUGGCCGAUGCUCUCCUGACCACAGAGGCACAAAUGCAAGGACAUUGGGAGCAGGUCUUUAGGGAGUCAACCGACCGCCGUCGCACAAAUGCAAGGACACCGGGAGCAGAUCUAUAGGGAGCAAACCGACCGCCGUCGCACCGCCGGACUUCCUCCACGAGCUUUCGUCAAUCUCCGACUGGCCACACGUGGUGGCUCUUUGUCCAUGCCAGGAAACACCUCCCCCGCGGCCGUCCCGUGGAUAGGUUGCCACCCCGGGCGCCACCACCUGACGAUCUUCUUCCACAAGAUUCCGCCCGCCUCCGCCUGGCCACAAGUGCUCUGCCAAGCCAUGAAACUCCUCUUCCUGUGGCCCGUGGCCAGGUCGCGGACUCAACGUCUCCCACUAAUUGUUGAUCUCCCCGUCUCAGUGAUUUCUCCGGCCUCUAGCCCCCUACGGUAAUCCCAACCCCUAGUUUCAAUCACGCCCUCAAUUCGUUGUACUGUUUGAUGUUAUCCUCCUCAAUUCCCACUGAAAUUUCAGUGCAAAUAAUACGAAGAGGCACGAAUGUGUAAUGAGUAUAUUCCCAGUUAUCCGUCUCAAUUCCCACUGAAAUUUCAGUGCAAAUAAAACGAAUGUGUGACGAGUUGAUUCCCAGUAUAUGUGCAAAUUAGUUGGGCGAAUCAUUUCUGUAGUUUGGACCAUUGAAUAUUGACGAGCUUGAGUUGCCGUGGUAUGAAAUUUGGAACAUGUGAGUGCAUAUAUGUUUUCUUCCUAUUUGAACUGUAAAGCAAUUUCGAAUGCAGUAAGAAAUUUACCACUAAUAAAUCUACUUUCAAACAUGGGUAAGUCGGUGGUGAUAAUUUACUUUCAAACAUGGGUAAGUUGGUGUGGUGAUAUUAUAUUUUGUCAGGGUACUGCGGCUAUUGGAUGUUUGUACCAUCUCCAUUCAGGUUCAUUAUCCAUUGUUUUUUCGUUUUCCCAUUUGUCCCUGCAGAUGCUUUCACGGCUUGAUUCUUUGUACAUGGCUGAUGCAGCUGGAAGUCUUUUUCCUUUGCAGAUGUGUUCUACGGCAACAAACAAAAAAUAGCACGGUAGUAGCAUGAGGUAAUUCUCUGGAAUAUGGGAUAACUGCUACAAGUUUUAGAAGUGGCAAGAAAUCAUAGCACUUCAUUCCAUGAUCCAUCCUACCUUUGAUUUGUGCUUACGAUUGCAUAUUUUCUGCCAACUGUAGCCUGUUGUAUUCAGAUGAUGUUAUCGGCCACCGCCCUUGCGUUGCCCUUCUCCUCUUGCUUCUGCCACCGGUGAGCACGGUCCGUGCCACCCCUCUGUCGUCCUUGGUGGUGAGAACCCUCUGUUGUUGUUUCUAUAUAGAUGUGCUUCAACUUUAUCUCCAUUCCCUCACCGUCUAUAUCUUUCAGUUCUUGACUAGCGUUUUGAUUAUUGUCGAGGGCUCCAAGAUCAUCAAAAUGUUCCAACAAUCCAGCCGCCGGCUUCAUGGGUGAUUUUUUGCAUUCACGAUUUGUUUUAUCCAUAGUCACCAUAAUUCAUGCACCCUCCAGGUCUGAUUUCUUUCCAUGUAAAUUUUCAGGUUCUAACUAUGGUUUGAAGCAGCUUAGACGCAGGCGGUCAGUACCUUCUUACCGUGCAAAUCAAACUGGUGCACUGUCCGAUUGAUGUUACUGCCCCUCAUUUUUCACGUUAUCUCCACUUAUUUGUUCGCGGCAAGCAAAAUAUACAACACUAUUCUGAAUAUUCAGACCCAAGCAACUGAAAACCAUCAUGUUUCAGAGAUAGCCUACUGCUUUCCCAUUAUCUAAUCUUUCCCAUUGAGAAUAGCCGAUGCCGUAUUAAUUUUCACAUGUGAAUUCAUCGUCUCUAUUUAUUUGCUUAUGUAAAUGUUUUCUACUGUAUCCACUCUUCUCUAGGUGUCUCCAGUCAUGGAUGCUUAGACCACAUAUCAAAACAAGCAUAGGAGAGAUGAUUUCCAUCAGGUGAUUGUAAGCGCGGUAAUUGAUACUUAAGUUUUCUUUGUUCAUGUAUAAUCUGGUUUUCUAUGUACUGAAUAUUCCACCAUUUGGUAUAAAGGUUGUUUGUUUAUGCAGGUUCAGUCGCUGGCAUCUAGAGAACUAAUAUCAUGGGUGAGAAUUGGAUGGUAGAUACCAUACAGGAAAAAAAUGUGGUGGCUUAUUACAUAUAUAGAUUUGAUAUUUUAUUACCUUGCUAUUUGUAUGUGCUAACAUGUGUCGGGGUUUGUUAUUAUUAUCCUUAGCAAACAAUUUGGAUCAUGUUAAGAUUGAAAGGAUAGUAUGAAGAGCUGAAAGUCUACAUAAUUCAUGCUAAGGAUAAUAGGAACAAACUAAUAUUUGUAUGUGCUAACCAUGUUUGUUACUAUUUAUCCUUUCAGCUCACACUGAGUUGAAAUGAUAGUAUGAAGAUAAUUAUUUACCAGGUCUACAACAUGGUUUGUUAGCAUAAUUGAGUAGACAUAUUUUAUUGACACUUUUAUAAAAUGUUGACUAACUUCUUUUAAACCACUAAUAUUCCCAAAAAUCAUCGAUCAUAUAAGGUACGUCUUUUGUAAGCUUCCAGUGUUCUUUUUCCCUUGACUACAUGUUUCUUCAGAGCAACUCAUAUUAAGCAAUCAUUCCGCGGCAACGCGCGGGGUAUCAUCUAGUAUUAAGUGACUUUCUAUUACAUAUAUCUAGACGUUUUUUAGGUAUAGAUACAUUCAUAUUUGGGCAAAUUUGAGUCACUUAAUAUGGGGAUGGAGGAAGUACGUUAUUUCCUAUGUUCUCAAAUUCCCAUUUCCAAACUAACCAAGUAGGAAGAUUUCAUGUGAUUCUUGGCUCACAGUUUUGCACCCGAAAUCCUUCUUAAUUCUCGUGUUUCAAACGGAGCCUUAUCUUCUCUCACACGACAACAAUUACACCACUAUAGUUUCUAGCCGCUCCGUCAUGGUACCAAGAAUUUUUUUUUUGGCUGGUCGAGCAAGUGCUCCAUCAUAUCAUAGAUUAUAAGCUGAAAUAGCAAGAGUAGCUCUAAAGCUUUCCUUAAUAGCCUCAUCUCCUCCCUCCCUGCCCCCCCCCCCCCCCCGCCCUCUCUCUCUUUGCCCCUACCAUUGCCAUGUGACAAAUAAAAAACUAUUUAAGAACUCAAUUUUUCAAAUCCAUGAAUAUAUUUCUAAAACUCCUAAGUUGAGGGAAGAUGAUGUAGGCAGUAGGGGGAAGAAAUACUCACCGCAGGCUUCAUGUCAUCAUGUGCGCUGGAGUCCAACUAUAUUGCUGUCAGCACCUCCAACCACCGGCACCAAAAGUCGUUGGUGUCGUCCUUUGCAACGAUGGCUCCCUGCGGAGGGAUUUGCAAUGUGACGAGGCAGGGAGCGUUGACGCAUAUGGCGGCAAAGCAGAGCAGAGCAGAGAGAGAGAGAGAGAGAGAGAGAAGGUGAAAACAUGACGUCCUCUUGAGAUUGGGUCGAGUUGGGCUAACGUGGAUAGGGUGGCAUGGCGCCACCUCAACAAAAUUGGGGUCGAACCCGUUGAAUCCGACCGUGUGUGUGGAUGGGUGGGUGGGUGGGUGGGGAGGUUAUUCUAAAUGGUUUUCAUAGUUUAAGUGAUACUUUAAACAUGGUGGAGUUAUGGGUUAUAACUACCGCGAUGCAAUGUCCAUGCCUCGGCUUGUCGUUGCUCUACUCUAUCCAUAUCGAUCCACUACUAGUAGCACCCGCCACUUGAAGUUCGAAUACUAGAUCUAAUCCAAGAUACAUGAGGAUGAUUGAGGGAGCAUGAAUCAUGAACGAAUGGAAAAGCGGGAUGAGCUAGCUAGAUCUAGCGUCCUUAUUAGAUUUUUUAGAAGGGUUGGAUUGGUUGAAGAACUAGUACCAACGUAUUGCGACCCGAGAGAAUUUUUGGCCAACCGAAGCGUCUCCUGAACAAGCUCCCCGCCUUUAGUCUGGUGUGCAAGCUCCUAGAAAUGAAGCUUCUUGAAAGAGCCCAGUGAAAUGGGGUUUGACAGGACCGCACAAUUCUCUUGGCUCCACACGCUCCAACCAUGGCAUAUGGAUGGAAUCACCAACUUCGACGGUGUUGAUGGACGAUGGGUUGGGAGCUGAUAGAUGACAAGAAAAAGUAUGUGCGUGCAUGAAUGCGGGACUGCAAAUUGCGCAAGAAAUCACACGAAAGUAGUUAACGUGAGAAGAAUCAUAUCGUAAGAAAGAUAUGAUAUCUCUCUUUUUAACCUUCCACGUCAUCAUUUUUCUCGAAGCAUUUUGCCGAAGUGGAGUAGGAGCAGUGGCCAGGUAGUGGGUCAGUGUCACGCCUCUAGCCGUCACGGGUUCACGCACGCGUCGGCGACAGCUAAAGCGCACAAAUUCCCCAACACUCCGUUCACGGUUCACCGUAGAAUUCGAACCCUACGACGCCUCUCGUCUCGUCUCGUCUUCUCCACUGAGCGCUGCGUCCCCUGCUCUCCUCUCCUUUCACCCCUCGUGGGCUUUGCCGAAGCCGUAGCCCCGUAACUCGGCGGCGGCGGCGGCGGCCACGGAAAUGGCGACCCCCCUCGCCGGGCUGCAGGACCACCUCAAGCACGCCCGCGACUACGCGCUCGAGGGCCUCUACGACACCUCCAUCAUCUUCUUCGAAGGCGCCAUCGCCCAGAUCAACAAGUGAGCUCCCUAGUCCCCAGCCCCCCUGCACCCUCCUCGUGGAUUCGCUAUCGAUUAGGAAUCUAUGGAGUAUGGUGAUCCGGUUAGAUUCAUAAUUCGGGAUGGUGGACCCAUGGGGGUCUGUGCAUUUGACCUCACGGUUUCGGAUUUGUCCGGUGAGGAUCCAUUUUAUUGCUCCGGUCCAGUGAGAGUCCUGGCGAUUAGGUUAUUUAGGUUUGAGAAACCAUCGUCUGUAUGCACCGAUCUGCCCUCAUAUGGCUCUAAUUAGGUAAUCCUGCUUGAAUUUAGCCACACACAAAAAACAAGAUAGCUAGGCAUGGUUUGUUUUGAGAUCUAGAAUUGUCGAAAGCGUCAUAGUAACUGAUGUUUAUGAUUUGGGUGCUUCAGAAUAACAAGCGAUGUAUGUAAAUCUGCUGUGGAUUUGAAGUCAUCAGUGAAGGCACCUUUGUUAUUGUAGGAGUGGUAAUGAGCUUUGCAUGGUUAUGAAGUUUGAUGCUUUAUUUGAUCUUUUUAAAUUUCGAAAGAGCAAUGAUGUGUUUUCACUAGAUGCACUCGCAUUAGAAUACAGCCUUUCGCUGAUCAAAUUUGAGUUGCACUGUGCGGCUGUGCCAUAGGAAAAGGGCUUUUCUUCUUGUUCAGUUAAUAAUUAACUACAUAUUUGAAGGCAAAAUGUUUGAUAUGGAAGCUAUUUUAAUACUGAAAGCUUAACAAAUGCAUUUUAGCUAUUGUUCUUCAUGUUAUGAUAAAUACACCUUGAUCAUGAUUCACGCAGGUAUCUAAGUACUUUGGAUGAUGCCCUGAUUCGCACAAAAUGGUUGAACUGUAAGAAAGCUAUCUGUGAAGAGGUAGAAAUUGUGAAGCAGCUUGAUGCCCAAUUGAAGUCUUUUAAAGAAGCUCCUGGGACAACGCGGUCCUCGUCUCCGCCUAUUCGCUCUAAUAAAUCAUUUCUUUUCCAACCAUUGGACGAGUACCCAACAUCAUCGCCACCAACCUUUGAUGACCCUGAUGUUUGGGCGCCUCCAAGAGACUCAUCAAAUCGAAGGUCAACAAGAGGCCAAUCUAGUGCGAGAAAAUCCUCCCAGGAUGGAGCUUGGGCACGUGGUUCAUCAAAGACUGGAACACCUAGCCGUGGUGCAAAACAUAAUGGGAGCAAAGCAAGCUCUGCAGUAAGAUCAGCAACUGCUUCUAGCACUGGUGGGAGGAAAGGAAAAUCAAGUUCAAGCAAGCCUGAUUCAGCAGUAAGUUAUGUCAAGCAGAUAUUCUUUACACUCUGAAAUCUUUAUUUGAGCAAACAUGUUGUGUCGCGGUUUGUUAGUUUCCUCUGUCUGCACCAGUGAUAGGAAAAGUAGCACUGAGUUCUACUCCUAGGUACUGUUUACCAUCUAUCUGCCUAGCACAAAAACAAAAAGGAAGCUUCACAACAUCAUCUAGGAUACACAUGUCGUGUAUGGGUUGCAAAAUGUGUCUACCAUCUGUUAUUUCUAGCAUACCACUAGAGUUGACAAUUUAAAGUAGAGUUGACAAUUCUUGGCUAGGUACUGCUGAAGUCAAUCCACUUAGUCUGACUUAUCUCUCCUUUUAAUUUUUCCGUAGAAGCUAGCCUUCAAUACAUCAACUUUGGUUCUCCAUCUGUCCCUAAAAUUAUUUAGUUUGCCAUGCCAAUAAAAUAUGUAUUUUUAUUGUUGUUGAAGACAACCUUCCCCUUUUAAUUCUACUGGAGGAACACCGCGCCAUCUAUUUCUAGCUCUCUUUCCUGUGCAUUACUCAUAGGCACAAAGUAUGAUGUACUACUCCGCAAGAACAAUGUUAAACCUACCAAGCAUCUCAAAAGCAAUCCUAUACCGCAAGGGGAGAGCAUCUUUUCUUAUUCUCCAAAUUAGCGAACUGACUUCUGCAUGUAUACAAUAUGUAAAAUAUUUUCCCUAUCUCUUUUUGGGUUCAGCAUUUGAUCCUUGUACUUGAUGAUAGCUAACUACGAAUUAUUUCUAUAUAACCUUCAUAUUUCUUGAAAAUCUUGUUUUACCUAUCCUUUCAGAGUAGCGACGCUGAAGAAGGCAAGUCCAAGAAGGUACAGUAUGAAGGGCCAGAUGGGGACUUAGCUGCCAUGCUUGAAAGAGAUGUUCUAGAUUCUACCCCAGGAGUGAGAUGGGAUGAUGUUGCAGGGCUUAGUGAGGCCAAAAGACUCCUCGAGGAAGCGGUUGUGCUUCCUCUCUGGAUGCCUGAAUACUUUCAGGUAAUCAUUUGAACCAUGCCAUUCUAUGGACGUCAAACAUUCCCAUAGUGAAGUAUCUGUUAUUUUAUUACUCCCUCUGUUCCAUAAUUCUUGUUGAAAUAUUACACGUAUCUAGACACUUUUUAGGAAUAGAUACAUCCAUUUUUGGUCAAAUUUGAGACAAGAAUUAUGGAACGGAUGGAGUAAUUAAUUCUUGUUGCUAUCUAACAUCAUAGUGAUUUACAAUGUUUCUGCCUUUAUUUGGUAGCAUGCAAGUCUUCUUGACAUGCAAAUGUAAAUAAUUGUUCUCUAAUGUGAUCAAUUUAGAGUAUGCCAUUUGGAAUUAUCCGCACCAAAAUCAGUAAAUCACCCUAUCCACGAUAUGAGCUUUUAAUUUUCAUGUAGUUCUUUUUUUCUUCUCUCUCGUGUCCUUGUCCAUUCAGUCUGAAGUUGCAUAUAGCCUCACCCAUGCCCUCCUUUUGGGUUCUAUUUUUUUAUCAGGGUAUUCGUCGACCUUGGAAAGGGGUACUUAUGUUUGGCCCACCAGGUACUGGAAAGACCCUUUUAGCCAAGGCAGUAGCUACAGAAUGUGGCACAACAUUCUUCAAUGUUUCUUCUGCAACAUUGGCUUCUAAAUGGCGGGGGGAGAGUGAGCGCAUGGUCCGUUGUUUAUUUGAACUUGCAAGGGCCUACGCUCCAAGCACAAUCUUCAUUGAUGAAAUCGACUCCCUAUGCACAUCUCGUGGGUAUGUGAACAUGCAUUUUUCUGUUCCCACACUAGUUCAUUUUCUAUCAAUGACUGUCAAGACAAUGGCAAUUUGCUCACAAUCUUGUACCAUAAACAUGAAGAAAUCGUUAAGUGUUUUGCCUGCUAAAACUAUAUCUUCCUUUUUAACUAAGCUAUGUUUCCAGAAUAACCACAUUUUGAUGUGCUUUUGUAUCUUCCUUUUUAACUAAGCUCAGCAGGAAAUGAAGUAUGAUACUCUUGGUUCUUUUUAAUAUUUUAUCUUCAUUUAGAAAUUACUGUACCCAGAUUUACCAUCUCAUGUAUUUAUUCAGAGCUUCUGGCGAGCAUGAAUCAUCGAGGAGGGUAAAGUCUGAACUUCUAGUGCAAAUAGAUGGUGUUAACAAUAGCUCUACCAAUGAAGAUGGCCAACCAAAAAUAGUUAUGGUUCUGGCAGCUACCAACUUUCCAUGGGAUAUUGAUGAAGCGCUGAGGUUGACAAACUCUUUCCGUUCAUAUUCUCUUUUAUUAAUUUAGAGGUAGUACUUGUAGAUCAUGAGUUUUGGUAUGAUAUCUGGAUUUGUACAAGAUGGCUGAUUGCUUCAGUGGUGCUGCUAGUUGAGUUAGAUGCCACCGGAGGCGAAAUGUAGUACAUAUGUUUCCUUCAAAUAGUGCAAAUACUCCUUUUGCUUAGUUCAUGCUACAUCUGUCACUUUGCCGCUUUUGGUAUAAGAUCAAAGCUUUGAACACUUUUGGCUUACUGUCACUGGUAUAAGACCCAUAGGCCAUAUUUCCUGGAAGAAAUAUUUAUAUCUGUUCUAACCCAAUUCCAUGUAAGCUGCGAAACUUAGGCGAAAGUCUAGCGUAGUAUUAUGUUUGGAACUAGCUGUUCCAUAUAGACAUUAUGCUUCACAUCAUCCAUGAACAUUCAAAUCCAUCAUCACGUUUUUGGGGUAGUGUCAUGUAUGAGCCACUACCUAGAUUAAUCUGGCUUCAUGGCGGUGGGUGAGUCAUGCCAGAUCUCCUUGGCAGGUUGUGUGUCAACCUUGACAUGGCGGGGCAUGCAUUCUGGCGGCGUGCAUAGUUUUGUGGGCAUUGGUGCCUCCUUGGGAGUACAUCCGGAGUGGUUGUUUUGGUAGUGUGUCAUUUUUGUAGCAUUUGUAGCUUUGCUGUCUUGUGGGGUCCAUAGUAGUAUUUGCUAGUCGAGGCUUCUUGUACUUGGUUUUCAGUCCGGUCUUCCCUCUAUAAACUGGUCACGUUAUUCUACUUAAUUGAAUAAAUUGGGCCACACUUUUCCAUUUAAACUUGGCCACAUUAUUCCAACAUUUUGGAAAAGAAAUAUUUUUUCUGCAGUGCGAAAUAAGGCUUUUAUCAUUUAAUUUUACCUGUCUUAUUUCUUUUAUUUCUUUGUCAACCAAUAUGCUAGCUACGUGCUGCUACUAUAAGUAUAUAUUAUUUUUUCACUAAUAUGCUGCCACAUAUGGCUGUUUAACUCUUUCGAAUCUUAAUUGGCUCAGGCGGAGGCUGGAAAAGCGUAUUUACAUUCCACUUCCAAGUUUCGAAAGCAGAAAGUCACUCAUCAACAUUAAUCUUAGAACUGUUGAGGUAUGAUGUACUAACACAAUUCUUACUCAUCUUGUCUAGUAUUGGCAUUUUAUCCUUGUGAAUUUUUUUUACUGUCCCAUUCAACUGUUCACUAAUCAAUAAUAUUGCAUCAUCUACAAUGAUGAUAAAUUGUUGUUUCGUAUCUCAUGUUGCUUAUUAUGGUUGCCCCCUUUAUAUCAACAGGUUGCUACUGAUGUUGACAUUGAUGAAGUUGCACGGAGAACAGAGGGUUAUAGUGGGGAUGACCUUACAAAUGUUUGCCGUGAUGCUUCGAUGAAUGGCAUGAGGCGAAAAAUCGCAGGCAAGACUCGUGAUGAGAUCAAGAACAUGUCAAAGGAUGAUAUCUCAAAGGACCCAGUUGCCAUGUGCGACUUUGAGGAAGCUUUGGUCAAGGUCCAGAAGAGUGUCUCGCCCUCUGAUAUCGAACGGCAUGAGAAGUGGAUGGCUGAGUUUGGAUCUGCUUAAACCCUUGGUUCAUAUCCAAAGCUGCUAGAUUUGUCCACCCAUGCUUGUCAAUCUGUUUUCCUGGUAUUUGUUUCGUUUCCACUGCCAAUGCAAUGUUUCAACGCCAUAUUUGUGUUUAACUAAGUUCCCUGAGCUUACUCGUGAUCUUUUUUGCUGAUUUAGUUUCAGUGCUACUGGCAAUAAAAUUCUUGGUGUUAAUUCUCAGCUUCGAAUGGCCAUGACAAUCAAUGAAUUUCCAUCUGUCUCUGCAACUGUUUUUUAGAUGGCAUAAAAGUGAACUUGUUUUGGUGAUACUCCCGCGAUGCUUUUAUGUCCUUUUGAAACCGCCCGGGUUCUAAAAUUAAUUUCCAUAAAAGUGAACUUAUCUUGGUCUUUUAAGACCAACCAUAUAUUCACCUAUUUUACAGGAUAAGCCAUCCACAAAAGUCUUUAAACAAUGAUUAUCGAGUUUUUCUAGAAUGAAAACCGGAUGAUCAUUGGUUAAAGAUGAUUGUCUAGUUACCAAGAACGUGACAAGAACGAAAGUCACUUACAUCAGAUGAUGGGGGCUCCUUUUGAUUUAAAGAAAUUCAUAGGAUUUUUUAAGGAUUUAGAGAUCCUUACGAAAUUUCUUUUUUUAGUCGUUUGAUUCACAGAAAUAGAACAUCAAUUUUUCCUAUUGGAUUACUUUGUACUCUACUGUUUUGGAGAAAAAUUUCUACGCACUCCAAAACUUUUGCUUUUCCUAUGGUGUCACACACUCUUUGAUGCUAAUUUCUAUGGUUUUUUAAUCCUUUAGAAUUCAAGAGUACAUGCCACUCCCAUGUUUCCUCUAUUUCUUCUGUGUUCUAGAAAUACUCCACGAAUCAAACGGGCCUUAAUUCGGAAACACAAACUGGUUAAUCAAUUCUGUCAUGAUGCGAUGACGAUCGUCGCCAGCAUGGUACUUCUGUUCCUGGUACACCUCAGCCGGCGCCUCCCGCUUGCCAACCACCUUGUCGCCGCCCAGCUUAACACGCAGUCUCUUGCUGCCGGCCACCGUCGUAGUCCCGCUAGCGCCGGCGAUGCGUUCUUGGUGGAGGCCAAUGUUGAUGAACCGUGGAGCCUCCCUGUGGCGGCACGGGACGUUGACAUAGUCCUGCAUGGAGAACACCGUCUCGGCACAAUUAACCUGAUAAAUAGGCACAAUUAACCAAAUAAGUUGGCACGCUUAACCGGAUAAGUAACCACAAGUAACCUGAUAAGUUGGCACAACUAACCUGAGCAGGGGGACCGGCGGCCAGACCACGGCGGUGGAGCAGGUGGCACGGAUGUGGAGAGCGGGGACGAGACGGUGGCAGCGGAGCAGGGGAACGCGCCGGCGAGACCGCAACGAGACAGAGCAGCAACACAUUGGUCGGAGCAGCUACGCGUCGGCAACACCGUUGCGGCGAAGAACUGCGACGCGGCCUCCAGUCAACGACAGUGGAGCAGGGGCGCCCCGAGCAAAGUGGACGCGGCGUGCAAGGCCGACUUCCACACGGGAGUCGAGGAGGAGCACAAGAAGGGUCAGUGGAUCGUCGUUAAGCCAUGAAAGUCGGCCAUGGAGUCCAGGACUGGUCGGGGAAGGAGAUCAAGACAACGAGUGCAUUCGCUUUGCAUCGGGGAAGACAAUCGUUUGGUCUUGUAGCUGUGAGGGGUUCACGGUGGUGCACACUAGAAGGGUAAAGAGAUGACGUCCCCAUGGACGGUGGAAUGUGGAGCUGGUCCUGGCCUGGAGGAGAUUGCCCUCGGCCUCGAUGGCGACGCUGAAGUGGAACAUAUCUCCGGACACGAAGACAAAGCCGUCUUCCUCUUCAUCUUGUUUCCAGCCGCCGGCUUCUUUUUGGCCUCCUAUGGCGGUGGCUCAUGAAAAAAUGUAAUCAAGCUUGCGACGACCUUACCCGGUAAACGAGUGACUAUAACCUGAAAAACAAGCUAUAUUAAUCUGGUAAACAAGUUACAUAAUCUGAUAAACUAGUUAUUAUAACCUGGUAAACAAGCUAUAUUAAUCUGAUAAAGAAGUGAUAUUAAUCUGGUAAACGAGUGACUAUAACCUGGUAAACGUGUGAUAUUUAACCUGGUAAACGAGUGACACCAAUUUAGUAAACAAGUGACAUUGAGCUGGUAACAAGUGACUAUAACAUGGUAGAUGAGUGAUUAUAACCUGAUAGUAAACAUGUCCAAGAUGCCAUCAGAUCAUAAAAGUACAACCAAGUAACCUAACGCGGACGCCGCACGCUAGCGUAGGGCUGCGCACGUCGCGUAAAAAAAAAAGAAGCACGAGCUGGGCGGACCGUGCGGGACGUGUGAUCGCCCCACAAGUAGGUUGUUGUGCGCAGGUCGUCCGUAGCACUUCUUAAUGUGCUGCAAAAGGUAUAUCUAAUUUAGAAGAAGAAAAAACCUAAAGCUAGCUUCUUUUUUUGAGUGGAACCUAAAAGCUAGCUUCUUCUUCUUUUUUUGACUGGAGGAAAGCUACGAAUGGCUCGAGUUGGAGCGUGCGAUCAGUUGCCGAGAACGUGCUGCUGGGCCAGCGUGGUGCGCAUGGAGAGUUGUGGCGAUGGGCCAACAUGCUGUGGGCCGGCCUGGCUGCAUCGUGUGCUCAGCGGGCGGACGCUAGCAGGUAAACCGUGGGGCGCCGCACGGUAAGAUCGGUGGGCACGGUCGCCCCGUAGUCCUAUCUUUAGAAAUACCCCCACGAAUCAAACAGGCCUUAAUUCGGAAACACAAACUGGUUAAUCAAUUCUGUCAUGAUGCGAUGACGAUCGUCACCAGCAUGGUACUUCUGUUCCUGGUACACCUCAGCCGGCGCCUCCCGCUUGCCAACCACCUUGCCCCCACCCAGCUUAACACGGAGCCUCUUGCCGCCGGCCGACGACGUCGUUGUCCCGCCAGCACCGGCGAUGCGUUCUUCGUGGAGGCCAAUGUUGAUGAAGCACGGAGCCUCCCUGUGGCGGCGCGGGACGUCGACGUAGUCCUGCAUGGAGAACACCUCCUCGGUGCUGCACAGCUCCGUGUCGUAGGCGUAAAAACCUCGUGGUUGCUCGUGGCGAGCAGGAUCUUCUUCUUCUCCUCGCCCCCGGCGCUGCAGAGCGGGACGACCUGCAGCCGCUUCCCGCUGAGCUCGUCGCGCACGGGCCGGGGCAGGCCGCAGGUCGAUCCGGCAGCGCAUGGCCCACCACGCCGACGACGGGCUCCACGUCAGCAGGGCGAGCACGUUGCGGUCGCGGACGACGGCGCACAGGGCGCCGUCGAGGCCCGUGAGGUGGCUGAUUCGCCGCGACAGCCCCGGCGGCGUGUGCACCCACGCGAACCGCUCGGCGCCGACGUGGAGCGAUAGGAUGGGCGCGUCGUUGUCCCCCCUGGAGCUACCGUCGUCGCCCGUGAGGCUCUGUGGAUGCAGCAGCCAGUAGAGACGCCCGUGGAGCGCCACCGGAGGCGUGCCGAUGCCGUCCACGUGGCUCGUGACGCCCGGCGGCGGGUCGCUGGCGCAGGGCCGCCACCCGCGGCCGCCCGAUCCUGCUGGGAGCCGGAGGUCGUGCACCUGGCACUUCUGCUGCCCCGAUGCGUUGCAGAAGAGCCUGAACACCUUGUGCUUGCCCGUCGCCGGGUCGAAGCCGAGGCCGGCGCUGGAGACUUCGGGAGGAAAGCACGGCCGCGGAACACGUGUGGUGAACGGCGUCCUUAUUUCUGCCGCCGGUUCGCACGCGGGGAGGACCGCGUGGUCGCCGGUGGAGAGGUUGCAGACGUAGUACUCCGACGCGCGGACCUCCCAGAAGAGCGUCAGGCCGCCGCACGUCUUCCGGGACAGAAGGACCACGUGCUCCCCGGUCAGGUUGCCCACGGUGAGAAGCUCGCGUGCGGCGGCCGGCGGCGCACCCGCGAGCGAGCACGAGUACAGGGACGUGGCUGCAGGGCUCAAGGACGGCGGGAAGAAGAGGAUCUCUGGUUGGCGCGCGGCGGCGGCUCUGGCGCUGUGCGCGGCGAUGAAGUGGUCGGAGGUCAGGGCCGCGUUCCACGCACGGCAGACGGCGCGGGCGCGCACCGCGGCUGCGGCCGGGAGGCGCGUGAGGAUCUCGUCGAACAGCAGCUCGCCGUGCAGCGACGUUUCGCGGCCGUUCGGCGACCUGAUCAUCUUGGAACCUGGCGGCGAGGUUGCCAUGGCGGAAAUCGUACGUUUGCACGGACUUGGAUUGAUUGAUGCGAUGACCAAAUUUCCCGAUCGGUGCACAGCACGUACAUAUAUAUAACGUGCGUUGAAAGGCUGCGUGCGACUCGUAUAAGUAUUUGAUUCGGAAUCGUUCGAUACUCCUGUUAUAUUUGAUCGUAAUCUUACACGUUUCGGGUUCGUGUGCCGAAUCUAGACGUUCCUAGCCACGAGCAGGUACAUGAGUUUAUGGGUCCUCACGCAUCCCUAGAUUGAGAAUUUAACUAAUCUAACGUGAGUUUUACCAUUAGAAACUUCAAAUGUUAUAUAUUUUCUAAUGGUAUAAUUUUUAUAUAAUGUAAAAAUCAUGUUAUAUUAGUUAGAUUUUUAAAAAGAUGCGUUGCGGUCCCAUAUACCAGAACGGAGGUAGCAGUAAAUAAGAACAUCUUUAGCAGGACCCUAAAACAGGGUUCCUACUCACUUUUUAGGGGCUGAAGCAAAAAAAAAAGCUCUUCAGCAAGGUCACUACUAUAGUCUCUAAAGUAGAGAGGUCCGUCGAUAUCCCUCCCCAGCCCUCAUUCCUAGGGAUCUGGAGGGGAGGCCCUACUCGAUUCCACGUCAUCUCUUUCUCCUCAACGCCCACUUAUUCCUCCCCCUGCUAGCUUAAUCUUGAUCUUUGUAUCAGCAUGUUUCGUUAGCUGUAGUAGUCUGGUACGAGUCCAUCAUCUUGGGGCAUGCAGGGUGAGAUGUCGAGACGUCGUGCGAGGCGACGUGCGUGAUGAGAUGCCGACUGUGGCGCGAGGCUACAGUGCUGCGUGGAAGAGAUGAACUGGAAGGUAUUGCUGCGUGGUUGUUGGCUGAUGGAGUCAAUCCCCUAGCUGACGGGCUGCAUGCAGGCUUAACUGCCUAAUUAGCCGGCCGGUCAAUUAGUUGGUCAAAGUCCUGCCGUUGCCUCGAUGGAGAGAUUCCAGGAAGUGAGGAGAGGUGGGACGUGCGUUUGGUUAGGGGCAUGAGACCCGGUAGAUUAGUUUGUUUCCUAAUCGUGUGCAUGUUUAUUUAAGGCAUUGUAAUCAGCUUUGUUUGAUAACAGAGAGAGAUCGAGAGGGCUGAAGUCUGCGGCUAGUUGCAACUCGAGGGAGAAGAAGGAGGAGCAGCGCCGAGCUGCUCCAACAUUAUCAGAGCCUCGUGGUUGAUCUCUUAGUAACGGGAGGUCAAGGCCCAUGGUUGAAAAAAAACUAACAUCUCCAGAUGACGGGGGAGCCCGUUCAGCCCGAUGUGUGACGGGGGAGAAUGUUGGGUUUAGUCCCACAUCAAAAAUUAACCGUGGGGGAGCACAACAUAUAAGGUGGAGCAAAUCUCACCUAUUGGAUCGGUCUUUUGGGUUGAGUUAGGCUCCAGGCCUUAUAUGUUGUGGGCUCCUGUGGACCUGAGCCGGUAAGGCAUCAGGUCAUGUAUGAGUAGUUGGGCCGAGCCGCUGUGCGCUCUAACACCCCCGACGCCCUCUUCUUCCUUCGGUCGGCUCCUCCUCCCACUGCUCCCCCUUGCCUCCCUCGUCGGCAUAUGAAAUCAAACCGCCAUCGCCCUCUGGCGCCGCCCCGCGCCACCGCCUCUAGGACAGCCCUGCACCGAUCCGCACCGCGGCGCCGCCUCUCUCACCUCCCGCCGUCGCUACCACGUGCUUCGCACCCGGCAGCCACGAGAUCCAGAGGUGGGAGCCGCCGCCACACGCCGGCUCUGUCUGGCCUAGACGCAAGCUCCGUGACGCUGCCUCUGUCUGGCCUGGCCGCGAGCUCUGCCUUGCGUCGGCAUGUCGCUACAGCGGGGAAUUUUAGGGAGAAGGAGGAAGAAAAAGAAAAAAAGAAAAGAAAAGGCGUGUCACUGACAUAUAGGACCCACAUGUCAUAAACAAAAUAGGGACUGGGGAAUAGAGUGUAAGAUGUUUGUAAAUUUUGGGACCCUAAAAUUUGAGGAGAGUCCCUAGAUGCAGUUUAGAGACCCUGUUUUAGGGGCUACUGCUGAAGAUGCUCAUAAGCCACUCGUGGUUGCGGUGUCCGAGAAAAACAUAAAAGUAGAAAAAGAAAAACAAGGAAUUUCGGUGUUAAGUUUGCUUGAUUUUUUUAUUCGAAAAGGACAAAGAUCCAUUGUAAAGAUUACAAAGUAAUUUAAACAUAAUACAAUUAUACUGAGAUUUCCAAACCACAGGACGACCACUAUCGAUGACGCGUCUAUGUUGCCGCUCCAUUACCGGAGCCGGCCUGAUUUUAGUGAUAACAUCUAGGAAGUUCACUUGCGCGUGCCCCUAGGAACCAACGCCCCGAAGCCGCAGUUGUUGUUGUUGAAGCUUGAAUUGAUCUGAAGAACCUUGCAGCAGAUCUCGUGUGCACUCAGUCGAUUCUAAGACGACAAGAAUCUACGUCGGCACUCCUCAAUUCCAUCCUACAAACUUGAGGGGAAUCGGAUCCCGAAAGACCAUCUCGAUGACGAAGCGCCGCUUCCACGAGGACCACACCAUCUUCCACACGCCUUUUGAUGGCACGAACCACCACCGGAAUGAGGGCGCGAGGUGGGUGGGGGGGGGGGGGAGGACCUUAUUCGAUGAUGCCAUCUUCUCGCGCCGCGAUCCUUGAGGUGACAACGGAAGUCGAACCCUAUAUGCUUUUUCUAGGGGAGAGGAAGUGCACUUGCAUGUCCACUCGAAUCUUCAUGAUUUAUAGUUGGUCGAAGUUUAUUUGAUUGAACAUGGCAGUACUUUGGGUUUUCCCUACGUACUGCCAUGUUCUUAGAACAUUGCCUCAAUUGUGGUGUGUUUUCUUUUUGUAAUUUACUCUUUUUAAUAUACAGGCCGGUGGUUAUUGAUUGGAUUUUUAAUCUUAUACGGACGGUAAUCGAUUAGUAUCGGCUUAACAUCCUUUCAAAAGAAAGUAUGUGCCUGUGAACUGAGCCUGGCUCAGGUGAUGUGGUUCCCUGUGGUGGAACCAACCCACCCAGGUUCAAGUCCUAGACUUGACAUGGGUGCUCACAUUUAUCUGGAUUUAUUCCAGGGUUUAACCGGCGCUAUUCUUUCAGUGGUAGGUGGCGUACCCAUCAAUAGCCAGGCCCCUGCGGUGACGUCGUCAAUCUCUCAAAAACUGUCGGCUCAGUCUCUUGGGAGGUGCUCAUAGGGGUAGGGUGUGCGUGUGUGAAUUCAUAUGAGUGAGUGUAUGCACGUGUGUGAGCGUCUGUGUUUGUAUUGUGUUUCUCAAAAAUAAAUAAAAAGUGUGUGCCUAACACGACACUCCCUCUGUUCCUAACUAAUUUGCGCCGGAAAUUUCGCCAAAAACAUUCCUUCUAUUUUCCGAAAUCGACCUGCAGUCCACGUUCUACAAGAACUUUUGCAAAAAAAAGACCUGUAGUUUUUUGAAAUCAACGCACAGUCCACGUUCAAUUGAAGAUGUGUACUGCAGGUUGAUUUUGUAAAUUACUAGAGUUUUUUUUAAAUGGCCGGCGACAAUUAAUUGGGACGUGUUAUGAAAUAUUAAUGUGGAUGUCCAUAAUCCCUAUACCAUCAAAGUUACAACCUCCUACUUUAAUGGUGUUACUCUCCUAAUAUCAAUGCUUGUAACUCCAUCUCUCAUAUAUGGCUAUAUAUAUGAGAGCUUAUGUAUUGGAAAGUAAACAAGAAUUUCCAAUUUCAUCUCUCACUCUCUCCAUUCUAUAUAUUCCCUUACAUUACAACUAGUUAUUUAUAACACGUUAUCAGCACGACUGUCUCUAAAAGCUAUCAAGAACUAGGUAAGAAACUUUACGUUGAUCGUAAUGUUAUUUUUGUGGUAAGACAUGAUCUUUUGUAUUUGUUUCUUUAUUUUGUUCUUGCGCGAAUGUUUGAAUUUUGCAAUCUAAAUUUUUUGUAGUUUACUUUGUCGAAUCUUGCCGAGCUUGAUUUCAUAGCUCUGGAUAUUUCGGGCUAGAAUUACUUGUCAUGGGUGCUAGAUGCUGAAACUCACCUGAAUGCCAAUGGGUUUGGUGAUGUGAUCAAAGAAAAAAAUAAGGCAUCUACCCAAGAUAAAGCUAAGGCUUUGAUUUCAUUCGCCGCCACCUCCACAAAGGUCUGAAGAAUACCUUACUGAUAAAGAUCCAAUUGUUCUUUGGAAUAAGUUGAAAGAAAGGUAUGAUCACCAGAAAACGGUGAUUCUCCCCUCACUCCCCGCGCCGUCGACCUCGCCUCCUCCUGCUCCGCCUCCCCUUCCCCAAGCGCUGCCUCGCCUGCUGCCUCCUGGCCGCCUGCCGUCGCCCAAGCCCCUUCUGGCCCAUCUCCUCCAGCCCGUUGGCCCAGCCGAAGCCCAAGCCCUAUGCAGCCGAGGUCCUCCUGCAGCUGCUGCUCUCUCUCUCUCUCUUGGUCGUUGCUGCCGCUGCUUCUCUCUUUCUUGCUGCUGCUGCUGCGCUCUCUCUCUCUCUGCUGCUGCUGCUAUUGCUCUCUCUUCCUCCCUCUUUGGCACUGUUGUUGCUGUUGUGUUACUGCCGUGUGCCGAGGAGACCGAAGACCCGGAGCCGGACGAGUAGCCGCGCACGACUACGUACGAGGAGCCAUGAACGCCUACGUGUACGACUACCUCGACCGUACGACUACUUCUAUGACGUCGACUAGAUCGACCAUGCCGUGGCACGCCACAAAGGUAGAACCGUGGAGCGACCGUUUCGUAGACCUGUAGGUUGCGAAUAUAUGAAAUGCAUGUGUUGUAUGAGAUGUCGUGUAUGUACCGCUAUUAUCGAUAGAUGCAGGUACCUUGUUGCCAUUGGUGUGUGCAACCCCGACCUAGUCGGAUCUUUGUGCUAUUCUUGUUAAAGCAUGUGUUGCACCUAUCCAUGUCAUUCUCAUGCAUGAUAAUACAAGUAUAAUGUUGAGUGUAGUUAAUCCAUUAAAUUCUAUUCCUUGCAUAUGGAGUUGUAUAGAUGUUAUGUGUAAUAUUUUCGGACUCCAUUUAACUUGGUAAAUUAUAUAUUCGAUUUACUUUCGGAAUCCUUAAUAUGACAUGCAUCAUCCCUAUAUGCCACGCAUCAUUCUUUGAUUGCGCAUAUCAAUUAACUUGUGUAUCUUGUAUGUUUAUACUUUCCUUUUAUGUGGUGUAUUUGCUUCUUCAUCACUACUCUUCAAUUCCUACGACGACGACUACGCUUGUGUUCUUCUUCCAGGAUUCUUGCUCAAUUCCGGGCAAUUGAGUACUCCAGGCAAGCAGCCAUUCCUUGACCAUGUUGGUUAUACCUAUUGCCUCUCUCUUAAUCUUGAAUUAAGUUACGAUCUCAGUCUUAUCUUGAUGCCUCUAGGAUUGCAUAGCUUUAGUCAGCUCUGCUCAAUUGUCCUAUGUCUUGUUACUUGUCCUAAUACCAUGUCACAUGUUUGUUUAUUGCCCCACUUGGCCAUUAGAAGUAUUGCUUAGAUUGCUAGUCUAGUGUCCUUAUUUGGGGUUAUACAAUUGCUACAUCCACAUGCUACUUGAUGAUUUAAUUGCAAUUCUUAAAACUGUGAUAUGAUAUUAAACUGUAACAAGGCAACGAUGGGAGGCCGUGCUCUAAGGCAUUGGUGAUUUGUUCCAUUUGCGCCGACCUAAGGACCGAGUUCUCGAUUUCGCCGAUCCAAGAAACUUCGCGCUAACUGCUCGUGGGAGAAGAUAUGGCUUCCCCCUCGACUUAGUACUUGAUCCUCAGCUCUUCCAAGGGCCACAUAGUUCGGGCGUUCCAUUUGGCAUUUGCAUUGCAUGCACACAGAGAUUUGUGGAGACUUAUUGGUGACUUUGCAUUCAUAUAGGAUUGCGGCACUAGUUUGGAGUGGUCAUCCUGCGGGCUCUGAACCGCUACCCGCUGUCCUCGCAACUCUUGAGUCCGUACAACGCUUCGGUCGGGCUCUCGUUUUGGAUAGACUCGGUUGGGUGGUCCCCUGGAUUAGUUGUGGAACUUGGAAACAUCGUGUCGCUCAAUCCAGCCAGCGCACAUUUGGGUGUGAGCACGUCGUGUAUUCGUGGGUUAGUCGAACGUGUACGGGUAAAUUGGUGCACCCUGCAAGGAUAAAUCUUUCGGAAAGCCGUGUCUGCGGUUAUGGACGACUUCGUUGGUCAUUACUUGAUCAUAGAAAACUUAACCACUUUAAUCUCAAAAGCUUGAGUAGUAAUUAGCCUUAAUCAUGGAUAUGCUUAAAAUUGCUUAAGUGUGAGUGCCUUUGGAUCAUUUCCUCACAAGGGGUUGAGGGGGUGAUAAGAGGUUGUGUUUGGUUGGUGUUAGUUAUUAGAAGAUCACCUCACUUAGUAGACGCUUCUCAUCCUCUACUUAGACGAUGUCAUUAGUGUGUCUCUCCAGAUAUAUUGCUGUUGCAUAACCCCACCAUAUUUAUCCAUCCUUUGAGACUUGUUGCAUAUUUAGUUUAGUUCUCCCCGUAAGUCUUGCGAGUACUUUGUACUCAGUUGCUUUGCAAUGUUGUUUUCUUCAGAGGUUACAGCAGAGCGAGUGAGCCGCUAGCUUCUUCGUGGAGCACGACGUUGGAUUCGAUGUUUAGCCAGGAGAUCCAGAUCAGGAUUCUGAGACUCGUGGCGGGUUUCCUUCCAGCUUCCAGCCUCUUUAGGCCAUGCUAUAUUCUUGUCCGUACUCGAGCGUAAUUCGACUUCCGCUGAUGUAAUGAUGUAAUGUUGGGACAUGUGUCCUGUCUUUGUAAUAUUUGUUAUUCUGCUCCUUGUAUGAGCUUUGUAAUUACUCUCUUCUGUAGAGCUUUUUGGUAAUGAUAUUCAUGUGGUAAAACCCUACGAUGAGCACAUUAAUGCAUGUAUGUAUUGAAGUGUUUAUUGUAGGUUAAGAACCUAAGGCUUGAAUUAUGCAAAGGUUAGCAAUUUGGGGCUAAAUUGCAUAAUUCCGGUCCCGGGGUCUUACAAGAGCCGUCAAAGAUGACAGCCCCAAGGACACCACAAGCCGACCUGGCUACCAAACGCACUACACACAAACUAUCGAGCCAGAAGACCAUCGUCGACGGAGUUCGAAGGUGUCAUCGUCAUCACACAUCACUCCUCGAGCUGGCGACUCCGACUUCACCGCAAAUACCGCCAACAAGCCCUCACCGCGACAAUCGUCUGUAGCCCAAGUCGGCCUAUGCCAAACAGUCAGCCCACACGUCGAGGACAAGGCAGCUCCGAUUUUGAGGACAAGCUCAGACAGGAAGAAAGGCAGGUCUUGCGCUGUAGAUUGCCGAACAUUGAACCACCUUCCACGAGGCACCUUCGCCACCAAACCGCAGGAGGCACCCAGCGCGUCCACCACACAUCGCCAUCGUCAUCUGCAACAGCACCCCCGACCGGCGACUCCGACUUCACUCAAGCAGACACAGAAGGGAACUCUGCAAGGCUAGAGCUCUGACACCAUCGCUUCCACAUAGAUCGCUGUAAGGACAAACACAGAAGACCACAGACGGUCGACACCGAAGACCACGCCAAGACCCUUCAUCCCACAUCACCAUUGUCGUCGCUGCACAAAUCACAACACAACCACCAGCCUCCAUCCACCGGACCCUCCAGCCGGUGUCAACUCCAAAGACGAUGCCAUCAAUAUGGGGAACAACGCCGAGCGCUGCCAUCAUCAGGUCCAGAAAACCUGAACCAGAGGUUUCCCCCGAAGCCCACAGCGGGGAUGGUUGGGGAGGCCCACCAGGCCCAGAACGGGCCCGCAGCACCGAGGACGCCGCCUCGCGCCAACACCUCGGAUCCCACCGGAUCCGGCACCAUCAACCACGGAUCCGGCGCCUCCAUCACCGGAUCCGGCCCUGUGAGCCACGGAUCCAGCGCCGCCAUCGAAGCAACGACGCCCCGGCGGCCGCCAUGCGCGCCGCCGUGCCCCGGGCACCUCCCCGCGCGCCUCCACGCGGGCCGUCGCGCCCCAACGGCCACCAGCGCGCCUCCAGGCGCGCCGCCGCGCUCCAGCGGCCUCCCGCGCGCCCCCCGCGCCUCGGGCGCGCAAGAAGGCGGAAAUCCGCCUCGUCGCCACCUUCCCAGGACGUGCCCGACUUCGCCGGCCCGUCCUCCGGCGGCGGCGAUGUGGGGGAGGUACGGCCGGCGGCUAGGGUUUCCUCCGGGUCGCCAGAGGAGGGCGUCGCGGGGGGGGGGGGGGGUCCCCCUACACUUAUUCAUAUGAGUAACUAAGGCGAACUACAAGAGGAUGCAUGGAGUGGAUGAAAAUGAAAUAUAGUGCAAAUGAAUUCAUAGGAAAGAAAAAUCAUGUAGAAUUCAAUCCCACAAAUCAAACGAGAUACAUGCGAAAAAUUACUAAGGAUUCUACCUCUCUGAAAUACCUGCACCCUCCGAUUUAUAUUAAUUGUCUCAAAAUUUCCCAAAUAUGUAUGUACGUAUAUAUGCCUAAAAAGCGUCUAAAUACAUGUAAUAUUUCGAAAACUAAUAUGGAUCGGAGAGAGUAUUAAGGUUUUUGAAACAAAGGGGACUUAUUGCCUAUAAAGAGUUGGUAAUUGUUUUUACCACGGUUUAUCAAAAUUGUAGCGAUACAUAAUUUUGCUGUAGUACAAGUUAAUAAAAACAUCGGCAUACUGAAUGUUAUAGGCUCAAGUUGUAGUCAUCUAUCUAAAAAAAAACCCUUUUUUAGAGGAGACCUAAGAGCUGAAACUUUGAGACCAGCCAAAAUUUAAACAUUGGGCCUUAGCCCACUAAAGAGUUUUCCUCAAGAGGAAAAAAAACUCAUAAUGGCCCAACGUCUAAGAAAAAGAAGCUCCAGAACUGUGUAACUCAAGGUACCCCUGCCGUUGCCGAGCCCAAUAACGUCACAAGAUACGUGUUCAAAGCCUGUAAACCUGCCGCGCGCGCGAAGCCUCCCAUUCCCGGACCAAAAUCACUAGUCCACUCCUGCAGUCCUGCGCCCGCCGGUAAACAUGCUUGCCCUGCUCCGGAAAGGCGCAAGCGCAGGCAAGGCACUGACUGCAUUUAUCCCCUCUGUUCCCUUCCUCCCCCCACGGCAGGCAGGGGCACACAGCGAGACCGAGUACACGGCGGAGAGCAAAAGGAACUAAAGAGAGCGUGCACAGUGUGCGGACUGCAUGCGGAAACGGGAGAGAUAAGACCCGUCAGGCUGCGCCUCAGGCCUCAAUGCGCACCACCCCCCCGUCAGAGAGUUGAAACGGAACAGUAUCGGUGGGAGGAGCUGACCGGCUACCGGCUAACCCAGAACACGAUACGCGAGGGCUGGCUGCUGCCGCUGCCUGUGCUACUGCUACACGGCACGCCACUACUGUUCGGGAGAUGCGUGGCUUGGCGCCUUGGCGGGCACAGGAGCAUGGACCGCAUGGCUCGUAGGCAGUAAAGGACGCGCGAGCUCCAUGGAUGCCCUGAAAGGCUGAAGUGAAGUGACGCCGACCCAUCCUGAUUGUACGUAGCGUACGUGCGGCGUGCCUCUAGCGGCCUCAUAUGGUGUGCGUGUCCGGCCGAUCGAUGCCGGCCGUCGGGGAAACCGGGCCUGGCGCGGCGUGGCAGCAGCACGUACAUACGUACUGGCGUGCGCCAUAAAUAAAAGCCGGCGCCGUGCAUGCACGUACGCAGCGGCAUCUCGGUAUCUCCUGUCAUGUCCGGCCGCGCGCGUCCGUCUGUCCUGCCAGUGCAUAUUUACUUGCCACUAGCUAGCUAAAGCUAAAGCUAGCAGCCCUCCCCAGCCGGCCUCGAUCUCUAGCUAGCUUAGCGUCCGGUACUAGCUGGCAUAUAGCUGGCCGUGCUGCUUCUGCUAUCCUCAUUUUCUUUUAAUUUGUUCCGCUGCGCUGUGCGGGUUUCCUAUGAACAGCGACGCACGCUUUUGCGAACGUUACGGCUUGUCAAGGGCGCCGUCCCGCGGGUCCAGUCGAGCAUGCAUGGAUCGGUGGCGCGCGCGGCGAGGCCAUUUUCUGCGUGCUCUUGAGAUGUGUGUUGAAUAUGUGUACGAGUAUUAGCGGAGGGUUAGGUGUUGAAGUCGGACACGUGUAACCCAGGCCUAAUUUAUAAAGGGACCGUGGGGUAGCUCAAAAAGGUCAUGACAAUAUAAUAGCAAUAGGCUCGCAGGAGGAGCCGGCAGCUUGUGCCGGCGCCCAAGGUGGCUGGUGUUGCGGUAUAAUGGGGGGAGGAGCGCCCGUAGUCAUGUCCCGGGAUGUAAAGCUUCGGUCGAACCUCGUAAACAAAUAUCGUGCCUCGAUGUCAUCCUUGAUCGUGCAUCCGCCGGAUUUCGUAACAAGUGGUAUUAGAGUGAGGUGGAGAGGAUGCGGAAGAUCUUGUGGGAGGUGCGAGGAUCAUGCUCGGCGGGUGCUGCGGAACAUCCAAUGCGGUGCAAGGUGGAGCAUGGCGAUGAUCGGAUUUCUGAUCGGUGGAGUCGGACACUUCAGUUCAAUGGGCUGCAGUUGGCAAGGAUCGAUCAGGCGUGGUGAUCGGGCCGACACAGUGGCCGGGAAGACGUCGAAGAUCAGACGACGGCUUCGGCUCGCGAUCAGACCGACGACCAGACGCAGGGGCGACCAGAUAGAUCGGAGCGGGAUGCAUCGCGGUAUAGCGGUGGAUCGGUGUAGCACAGGACGACAUUGUGGCACGGUGGACGAGUUGUGUCGACGAUGCAGUUGGCCAGGGUGCAACACAGUUUUGUGCGUAAAUUUGCAAGAGGACGCGAUUGUUACAUAGUGUUGUCAUCGGCAGCAGGUGACAGACACCGGAGUUAACUCGUCGGACAAAGUUGCGGCAGAUGGAUUGAAAGAUUGAGUCAGAAGUCCUAGAAGCGUGUCCGUGUGAGACGAAGAACGAAACAGCGGUGCGCAGCGCGGCGCAGAACAUGCGAAAAAUUGCACGACGAAGAAGCAGUGGCAGAGUACUUUUUGGUUUCCUCGUACGACGAAAGGGGAAAAGGAAGAGAAUUGGCUAGCAGUCGGAUUAGGAAAAGGGCUGCUGCAGGCCAUCACGUGUAGCUGACGGAUUCCAAUUAGGAAAACGAUUAGGAUGCUACCUGAUGUGUUCAGCUUGGCGAGGAAACUUUCCAGCUGGCUGGACUUCGGCUCGGAUUCCAAAGGGGCAGGUAUGGUGCUAGUAGCUUUUAAUCAGGUGUAUGCGCGUGUUGGAGCAAGGGUGCUCAACUGGCCGGCAGACGGGAAGGCUUACGCAUGGUGCAGCAGGGGCAGAGCAAAGGCCAGUCGCGUAUCGCGACCGACGGGUUUGCAACGCCGGGCAAAGGCCGAGUAGGUUUUGGGUGCGGUGCGGAGGGCAGGCCGAGUAGAACACCAAGAGGAGAACAGGGACUCGGAGAGGUAAUCCAUGAGACGAUAAAAAGCGUCGGGCAAAGCAAGGUACAGAUAGCGGCGGGCCAGAGACAGAGGUCAAGUUCAUCUGUUGCACAGAUCAUAUUUUUUCAAGCGCGGUGCUUCGCAGGAAGAAAAAAAAAAGAGAUUACGUAUGGAGGUGAAGAGAUCUCAAGAGUUUCCAUGAAAAGAAGGCUAGUGAUGGUUUGUUGGGAGCUUUGACAUGAAGUUGGAUGCAUGCAGCGUUGCUUUAGGUGACGAGAGACGGUGCGCGUAUAAGGCUAAGAGUAGCCUAGAGCGUGUCGUGAGGAUCGUGUAUCUACAAGGCGUCGAGCAAUACACUUGGUAUUGGGAUGGCACGACGCAAGGUGGAGCACGGUUGCAGUCGGACAAGUUCGGCUGGGGUCAGACAACAGUCUGACAGAUCUACGGGGAUGUCGGUCGGAACAUAAGACGAUGAAGAUCGGUGACAACGACCUAGGAGCGUGAGGGUUGAUGGUGUCCGAAUUCUGUGACGUGGCAACACGUGGCGCAGUGGGGCUUGAGAUGGUGUGGGUAUGCUACCCAGUGUAUCUUGGCCAAGAUUGCGGAUGCUCGACGCGGUGAUAGCGGCGAGGUGUGCGAUAAGCACGGAACACGGCAACAGAUCAGGGCAUAUGCGGUCAGACAAUGGUUUGACAUGUGCAGGGGUGGUGAAGCAGUGUUGGCGAGUACCAGGUUCAAUUUGGUGAUUGGAUCUAUCGGGAUGGCCUCAUGGUCUGAAGUGAUGGACAAGAGUCGGCCAUGGAGAAUCUGAGAAAGUGUUUUCUGAAAAGCUUGUAUUGUCAAAGGCUUAGAGAGCACAUGGCCGUAUAUUCUGUGAUGUUCGAUGCACAUGCAAAGUGCAGGCGAUGGGAUGCAGAAGGAGGCGGAGUGCUAUAGCCGUGGGACAUGUAAAAGACUAUCCGAAAGGGAUGAGACAACUAUGAAAUUGACUCAAGGGCAACGACGACAUUCCUUCAAGUUUCAUGAGGACAGUCAACAAUAGCGAGGACGAUGAGUUCAGGUAACUCUUAUAUGUGGCAGCUAACAUGUGAGUUGUUCAAUUUUCACAUAGAUCAAGGAAGAGGGAACCAGGAUCACGAUACAUCGGUGUUGUCAAAUAUGGUGACUUUAUGAUCGGUGUGUGAUGGCGUUGAGCGGAUACUCCGAUAAGUUAGGAGCACAAGGCGGGAGUGUGGAGGAACUUAUUUUUCGCGGGAGCAUUGCCCGUUAAUGAAUAAGAGGAGGGAUUACGGUUGCAGGUGGAGUCAUGUGAUGUCAAGGAAGUGGUAGUAGAGCUCAUGAUUGAUGUUUCAAGCCCAAGGUACACUGAGGUUCGUGCAUGACAGCUUCAAAGUGGCGAGGGUCAUGUUCGUCAAGGUGAAGUUUGUUGAGAUGUGUGUCGAAUAUGUGUACGAGUAGGGUUACAAUUGGACUUGGAAUUAGCGGAGGGUUAGGUGUUGAAGUUGGACACGUGUAACCUGGGCCUAAUUUAUAAAGGGACUGCGGGUAGCCCAAAGAGAUCAUGACAACAUAAUAACAAUAGGUUUGCAGGGGGAGCCGGCGGCUUGUGCCAGCGCUUAAGGUGGCCGGUGUUGCGGUAUUACGGGAGGAGGAGCGCCCGUAGUCAUGCCUGAAAUGUAGGCUUGGGCCGAACCUCGUAAACAAAUUUCGUGCCUCAGGAUCAUCCUUGAUCGUGGUCCCGCGGAUUUCCGUGUCACCUACCGACGUCAAAGAGGGAAUCAAAGUUAGUGCGAUAGCCUGAUAGGGCAUCACACAAGAACAUGGUACCAUGCUACAGAAUAUAUAUGGUGAUAGGACGGAUCAGAGCCUCUUCAGGACAUGGUGAUCGAUGUGAAAGCUGUACGUGCAAUGUGUACGUAUCCCCGAUCCUAUUCCCCUUGUACGUAUGUACAUCGAUCCAAAUACUGUUGCUAUUUAUUGGCCACCUGAGUACUAGCUUUAGCUGCUGCAGCUAGCCCACGGCCCGCGCUCUGCGCCUAUGCCACUUGUCUUGGCAUUUUUCUGCACGGAUGACGGAAGAUCCUGCGUCCACCUUUCAACUUUCAUUAACUCACUAGUCGCGCGGUCGCCGAAUUCCGCGGUACGCGCACGAUGCGACUAGCCAUUCUAUAGCCCUGGCUUGCAUCAGGCCGGCCUGUAUGCAGCGCACGCGGCCGGCCGGGACGCAUGCAGUUGCAGGCACGAUGGGUUUUCUUAGGAUUUGCUCUUGCAGCGCUACUGCUGCGCUGCCUGCUCCUACCAUCUGGUCUCUACUCUCUAGCUUGAUACUUCUUCGCUUUGACCUAAGCCAACUAUAGCUAUGUAGCCCAUGUACCCUGCCCUUCGUUGCCAGCUAGUUUGCGAAUUGUCUCUGGCUACGAUCGAUCACCGGCCGGAAUGCAUGGCAGCGUGCUGCAGCGAGAUCGAUUGUGCCGGCUGUCUGUAGAGGUUGAUCGGGUGGAGCUUAACUAAUUACCCAUUUAAUGUCGGCCCGGGCCGUUAGGAUGGGGUGCUUGGUUUGCUGCCGAAAUAUAUCAAACCAAUUUUUUUGAUCGUUGUCCAAAAUUUAGUAUUUUUUGGAUUGUGAUCAACCAUUUCACAAGUCACUGUCCCAAGCCAAUUUUAGUUCAAUUUUUCGGAUAAAGUUGACCAACUCAUGGGUUAACAAAAUCAUAACCAAUUAUUUGACUAGUCAUAUUUUUGGCAGGGCAACUCUUGGCUCAAACCAAAUAUACCGAUGUCUCUUCUGGUUCAAUCACCAAGGAAACACUGAAAGCGUAGUAAAGGGAAGCCAACCAAACAAAAGUCCUCAUGUUAUUUGCUCGUGUUUUUUUUUCACUACGCCCUUCUGGCCUCCAAGUCUUGCAAUGUUCGACAUUUUAUUAAAUUGAUGUUCAAGAUGUCAAGGCCGAAUUUGUUGAAAAGGGCCACAAGUGGAUAACAUUGGGGGAAUUGUGUUGUGUGAUAUCUGUGAUUUGGAGUUUGGAAGCAAGAGUGGCAUGUUAUCCCCACCGAUGGAUCGGAGAGAACCGCCACCGCCAUCCAUUGUGAGGCCCUUUUAGGUGCAGUAUCCUUCGGCAACGGUGGAGGGGAUUGGAAGUUAGGGUAGCAUGCAACUAGGGUUGGACUGAGGAGAUGUGUUGUGUAGUCUAGCUAGUUUUUUCUCAUGGCAUGACAUCCUUAGGGUUUCCUGUCUUUCUGGAAAAAAUGUUUAAUUCCUACAUUAUGAUAUUGUAAAAGGAAUCUUUUAGUGCACAAACCACUCAAAUUUGUCUAGAUUCAUGCCACAAACGUUGGAUCUUCAUUAAAUUAGAUUUCCAAACAUUCUUUCUCCUCUGCCUCACUUAAUUAUAAGCCUCGCCUUGCUUGCGUCUUCCAGCCAUUUUCAUUGUCUCCGUUGUGGUUGUCGCCAGCACCACCACCUUGCUGACCCGCUCGGCAUGCUUUCUCUCAACACCCUCCAUUUGUGCCUCUCAUUUAUAACAUUUCUAUGUGUUUUCCCAAAUCAAGCUCGCCUAAAUGCCAUUUGAGGUUUCAUCGUGGUCGCUAGACAUCAAGCCACCCUCCUCCCCAACGCACACGAUACUACCGAUCAUUCGGUUCCGACAAGCACCUCCAACCAUAACUUGCUACACCCUUAACCAUUUUGCGUAGAUUCCUUACCUUUGCUCUGCCACCCUUGCAGCUCAUGCAUCAUCAGGUUCUACAACUUGUGACCUUAACCGUCCUGGCCAGAUUGUGAGGGUGCCAAAGACCUCGCCUCCAUUGGUCGCCGCUCCAUGUCAUUGCCACCUCCAUCUUGUCUUUUCGGCAGUUGGAGCAGGAUGCUUGGAUUCUAUAUGUAAAUGUUUGGUUUUGGCUAAGGUUUUGGUCGGCAAUGUUGGUACAUCACCUACCACUGAAAGAAAACGUCGGUUAAAUACUAAAAUAAAUCCAAGCAAGUGUGAGCGUUCAUGCCAAAUCUAGGACUUAAAUCUGUCUGGGUUGGUUCCACCACGAGAAACCCGAAAUAUUGGCAACCAUCCAACCAGUAGGCAGAAAAAGUAUCAUGAUAAAAAAAAAAGUUGGCAUUAUAGUUUUGACCAUGAUCCAAAAAAAUUUUAGGUUACCGUGGGCUAGCAAUUCUGUAAGUGCCUAUAAGUGCAGUUUUGCGCCUCUGCUAAAAUUUGCGCAUUGGUAUACACGUACUCUGCUUUUGUACCUGCUAGUCUGUACGUAGAUUCAACGAUUAAUACUUAGUCAGGACUGGUUGCUUCUUUGGAAAAAAAAACUUACUGCAGAGUUCUGUAACACGCUCGUUAUAUUAUCAUCCUACAACCGCAUCCGUUCCUUUUGCUCCGCACGUACGUAUGCUAUGUAAUUCCUUUCAGCUGUGCGCUCAAGUCACAAUAUGGCUUUUGCUUUUCUUUCACCUUCGAUGUACAACUUUUUCACAGCAUCUGUCGGGUGGAAUUCAUCCAACCAGACAUGGCUUGACGCGUCGCUGCACGCCAUCUGUGGAAGAAGAACACAUAUGAAUAGGCCACCAUACUUGCCCAGCCCACAGCAUCAGUGGUAGUCAGAAAGCCUGCAUGUUGCAAUUCCAUCAAAAUGUGAAGCCCUUUUCAAGGAUAGCACACAAUUUAAAUACAGCACUGAUGAUGCAUUUGCUCACCGUAGCGGUCACGGUUAUCUAGAAUGUCCAUUGAACCCUCGAAUGUAUCACAGUAACUGAUCAUGGAAUCUGGGUACUGGCGGAUGAACUCGCUGGACAUGUAUCUCAGGCCAUAGUUGAACUCAAUCACAACGUUGUUGAUGUAGUCGAUGCAUUCCCCAUUUUGGCUGCCAUAGUCCGGAAGGAAGUGAGGUGCACAGCCAACAGGAGGAAGGCCCACCACACAAUCAGACACCUAUACAAGGGACACGAAGCCGGCUUCAUCAAGAAGUCUACUUCAAGGGCUUAAGAAAAAAGCCUUCCAAAUAAAAUCAGGGAUAUCAGACCGCCUAUAAUAUGAGAAUUUCGCCUUAUGCAUUAGGGGUAAGUCAGACCUUAUGACCUUUUCUUGCAGUUUGACCUUAUCAUGGGGCAGAACACCUCGGUUCUUCCAUUCAUCAUUAUAGAUAGCCUCUAUGUCCGUAGAAAUUGCAAUUCUUGAUAAAACGACUUGUUGAUUCAAAGGCAAUUCGGAAUAGAACUUUCGAGGUAUGAAAAGUGCAUUACGAAAACGGAAACUAGCAAUGUUCUUAACAGACAUAGUGAUUAUUUAUUCCCUAUUCUUCGGGCGGGCCUUCAAUCUAAUUUGAGCUUCUCCUUCUUGGGGGUCGACUUGUAGUAGCAGGCGUACAGGACCAGGCCGAACAGCGCACCGAGGCCAUUGGGGAUCUGCAGUGCACGAAGGAAGACAAGAGCCGGCACGGUUAGAGAGACACUCUCAAGUUAUAUAAGAUUUGGUUGGAACCUGAAGAUGGAGAUAUUACUGACCGUGACGCAUAGGUCGAAUUUGAUGAGAGCGUAGGACGUCCAGCAGACGCCGUUGAGGAAGCUCACCAGCGACAGGAAGAAGGGCAUGUACUCGACGCUCUUGGUCUUGAUCACUUUACCAUGCACGACAACUUAACCUAUGAAACCCUCAUCCACACGGCACCAACAACAUCACCGCCGCCACCAACCGAACUAACAGGGGAACGCACGCCUAUUCCCCAACAAUAUCACUAAUACCAAUAUAGAUCUAAUAAGACAUCUAUGCACGUGGAUUAUCUCGCCUGAUGGAUCGAUGGGAUGCGUACCAUGAUGGUGAGCGGGGAGGCGUACAUUGCCGAGCCGAAUAGGACGCAGAGGAUGCUGUAGAACACCCAGAGCAUGCAGUUGAGCAGCGUCGCUAGGUACGGGUCCGACUUGAACUCCUCCACGUCCUUGUUCUUGAUGAUCCGCCAGAACGUCGGCCUGCACAUGUACAAGCAAAAAGCAAGCGCCCCGUCAUAAGAAUCAAACCCUAAUUACCAACCACCUUCCAUAGAGAGUAGACUAGACAAGCGGACGAAGUCGGGUUCUUCCGAUUGCACCUGCAGUGGGCCCGGGUACUGUUGCACUGCGUGGCUACUAACAGAACAGAACAAUUGCUAUCGAUUAAUGGUUCCUACCGGUAACCAUUUCUGUCUUGUCUAGUCAAUCUGGCAGGAACAGAUGACAACACUGAUAGCAUUCCUUAUUAAGGGAAGUCCUCCCGAAGGUCGGAUACUUUAUUUGGCAUACUCAUUCUAUAGCAGUGUAGUUUUGUUAAGGAACUCGAUCUUCCUUACUUUAGAAUUCAAUACCUCAGAAACUCAAAUCCACUAUUUGGUUUACACUUUCGGAGGAACCCAAUUCCAUGAUUAUUACUAUUUCCUAAAAAGUGACAUGAAUAUGAAUUCCAUCAAAAAUCAGGAUCUCGAUUGAGCAUCAAAAUCCGGAUCUCGCUUUUGCGUAGAGUGGUGACUCAGAGAUCACCUGCGGGGACGCUAGUAUUACCAUUUUGAGGAAACCUCUGCUCGGUCAUGUGAAGAUAGAUUGGUCUUCAAUACGAGGUACGUUUCAUGAAUUAGCCACAGCCCACAGAUAUUCUAAGAAUACAUGUGCUCGUGCUACCUAACCGACAAUGCACGGAGAAGAGAUGAUCUUCUCUAUCUGUAAUUCGCACUAACAAUACACCCGCGGAACACGGGGAUGGGCGGACACUACGGAUCUAGCAAGCGCUUAAUUUGGAGCUAAGAAGUCGGAAUCAUAUGGGUGCCCGGAAUGGACCGGGGUAACGACCCCGUACAAAAAGGCGGACGAGCAAACGAUUAAACCAGUAACGACCCGUAUAGAUCGGGCAGGAGGUGCUUCUUUGAACCCUGAAUCCAAAGCAGAUUCACCAAACCAAUCCGCGUUCACAGCGACAACCGAUCUGGAAUCUGUUAGCUUAUCUGAUACUUAUGAUGUUCGCGCAGCUACUUGGUCAGCUAAUCACUGGCAAGGAAGUGCCAUUCCGAACCUAUCCCUAGCUGAUUUCCAGAGCUCGUGCAGCGUCUUAUAAUAGCGAGCGCACCUUGGGUAGUUGAACUAACGACUUCAUAUCAUCAGGGACAUAACUAGCAGAUUGGCGAGUUACAAUCUGAAAUCCUAAUGCCAGGCGGAUUGUAACUUUAGCUUCCUCACAAAGAGGGGGAAGCCGGAUCUCAGUACUCAAGUGGAUGCCACGCACAAUGGUGAUCGAUAAGUAAUUCAGGGAUGACAAUAAGUCAGGCUAGUGUGAGAAGGUAUGACCAUCUCACGCCCUUACGAGGGUAGAACAACUGGUGUAUUCCCAUUGUCGGAAGAAACAAGAGGAUGUUAAGAUCCCUUUAUAAAAAGAUUUGGAUAUGCCCGCCACCAGGGGCGUCAUCUAGCAGAAAGAAAGGGGAUGGAAGGAGAAGAGGGGGCAGACGCUAUGUCUAGAGCACAAAGGGUAGAGGAAUGUGAAUACUAGAGUCCACUAUCUUUAAGUAAACAUGUCCACUAAGUCAAAAUGUUUGCGAGGAGGUAAGAUAAAAAUGCAGGCAACCAAGGGGGGCGGGUCACUAGUAGUAGGUGAAUGGAAGGCUCCUCUAAAAGCGCUAGUGGAAUCAGCCAACCUUAGAGUGCCAUUCAGUUACUAUUCUUCUGAUAACGACCGGAGGCGUUAUCUCGGCCGGGUUCGGUCUUAAAUGAUCGACCUUUACUGCUGUUCCAUAGGGCGGUGGCCAAUAUAAUUGGUAAACUCUGGAGUAAAACUACGACUAAGACAGCUAGCAGUGACCGGAUGCUGGACCCAACAUAUAUUGAUGAAGCCGUGCCGUCGUGUUGCGCGUUCACCGAGCGUAGAUCCGCAGGACAAGCGUUGGACGGGAGAGCGCGAAGUACGCGAUACACACGUGCAUGCUGCUCGUCGUACCUCCCUAGCUAGAGUUCGGUGGAAUUAGCGGUGUCGAACCAGUGUGUCAAUCCCGUGAUAUUUCGAUCUCCGAGUUACUUUCUUUUUCUCAUGUUUCCCCGUCAAAUCAAGACGAAAAAAAAUCGAUUCUAGCUCCCAAUUAAGUGCAUGCUAGUAAAUUAAGGGACUGAAAUACCACGGCAUUGCUGGAUCAGGAUCAAGAUGUGGAACUUAAGUUGAAAAGGGCACCGGUUAACAAGAUUGGAUAUUUGUUACCUGACACGUUUUUCCUUUUUUACAAAGGAGGAAAGGUUCUCCCCUCGGAAUCUCGGAUACAUGACACAUGACUAGUUCAUUUACAGUGUAGGCGUUGCAGCCGAGUCAGCCGACUAUAUACAGCUCACUGCUCGAUGAAGAAAUGGACAAGGCACUAACAACAAAAGCGUUGUGCGUGGAUUGUAGUAUAACACAUGCCCAAGUCCAUGCUCUAGCCGGCAGCAACGGCUUUGAAAUGUCUUUGAUCAUCAUCGACGCCAAUCCAAACAGCUAAUCGAUCGGCUUCUGAAGAUGGAAAUUAAGUUCAGAGUUGUAGCAAACAAAGGUACAUCUUCUGUUGAUAUGCUUCAGAGUUUAGAUGCUUUACCUGCUUUUUUUUUGCGGGAAAUGCUUGACCUGCUUUAACUUUGAGUAAUUGUGUACUUGAUCAUCAAUUCAUCAUGUUUAUCUGCACCAAGCCAAACAACAUCUCCUGAAAAUCAAGUAUUCCUCUGAUCCUAAAUUCUUGUCUCAAGUUUGCCCAAAUAUGAAUGUAUUUAUUCUUAAAAAACGUCUAGAUACAUGUAAUAUUUCGACAACAGUUUAUGAUCGGAGAGUACAUUGCAACACUUCCGUUGGUCGGCUUCUGAAGAUUGGAAGUUCAGAGUUGGUCAAACAAAUGUACAUCUUCUGAAAAAACACUUCCGUGCUCCUUAAUUUGCUGCAUAAUUGUAAGUUCUGGAAUAUGCUUCGUGGAGCUCAAGGUUCUUCUCCGCUAGGAUUUAUUUUUGAAUUCCUUUUGGUUUUACAACCUGAAAAUGAACUUUUCAUGUGUACAUAUGUUUUGUUCUGUUUUCAUGUGCUUAUAUUAACAUGUUGUGUUUUUACUCGUAUUUUGUUUUUCUGUAGCGGCGCACGGGUUUCUAACUAGUUUCGGUAACGUAGGAGUACUUUACUUCAUGAUGUACUAAUAUAUAAGAGUGUAUAGCCCCUUAAUUAUGUACCUCCUGACAAACAACAAUGAUGUUAUACAUUCUCUCAAAGCCUUUCAUGCCAUAUAUCACCUCUUCUUCGAUCCCCAAUGGCUGUCAAGACCACGUUCUCUCUCACACUCACAUGGUAGUUGCUUGCUAGUACCAGUACCAAUACAUUUUAGCUCAUGAAAAUUUGCAGAUGCAUUUUUAGCUCAAAAUUUGCAGAUGCUUGGUCUAUUUCUAAUACUGUAUCUACAUAGGAUUUUUUGGAAAUUUUAAAAAUUUCUGGACCCACUCUUGGCUGACUAGCUAGCUUGUUUCCAUGGCCUAAAAGGGGAGUGAGGGUAGCAGCAGCGGGGGGCAGUAGCAGCACAGUGAGCGCUGCCACGCCAAUUAAAAGCAAAGGUAUAAAGGGAGCACAGUGGUUUGCAUGCAUUAGACCCCUGCACAGCCGCUGAAUAUUCCCCUGCCUCGGCCCCGCAAGCAUUAAACAACAGCCAGAGUUUGAAUGGUGGUGGAGGACAUGCAUCUGAGCGCCACUGCGCUGUGCAACCAGCCAGCCACACCCGCAUUUCUGUUGCCACUGUAGGAGUAACAAAGACCAACAACACACGGCCCAGAAUGCAUGCACAAGCAAGAGGGCAUACUAGGCACUGGCCGAUGCAUGCAGCACCAAGUCCAAGUGUGACCAAUCAGACCAGGCCCGGCCACUGCAUGCAUAUGGUGAGAGAGCCGAGGCAGCACAUGUAAAAUUGUAAGAAAUGCAUGCACCCACUUGCAGCCAGCAGAGAUGUCAUAGAUCGAUGCAAUCCCCUCAUCUCAUGCAUCUUGUUUGUUUGGUCCUCAGGCCGUGGUGGUGGUGGUACCACCACACAUAAAUCCUCCUCUCCUAUCUUCUUCCUGCUGUGCUGGCUUACGAGAAGAAUGUCUCUAAUAAUGCUAGUAAUUGAUGGGUAUGCAAACAGAAGCUUUAACCACGCCUGUGCAGUGUGCACACCUGAGCCUACAUUUGGAUUUGGGAUGUGUGUAUAUUGGGCGUGCUUGUGGGGGAAGAGAAUUUGGCAGAUACGAAAGAGUAAUAUGAAAGAAGAGCCUGCCGUUAGGAGCAAGUUCAGUUACCUGAACGAUGUGCAUUGCAAAACUUUGGGUACUGUAUUUUUCAGUCCAAACACUGGUUGCAGACUUGCAGUGGACACAACGGCGCACAAAAGGUGGUCUAUUUGUUAUACAUAAUGAUGAAAAGAUGGUCUAGUUAGUGACUGGAUUAAAACAGAGAGACAAUGCAUUUUUGACGGGGAAAACAGAGAGACAAUGUAAAACAGAGUACGCUUUUAUAUAUAUUCCCAUCGAGUAGCAGGGAAAGCAAUAUAAUACCGAGGAUAGAGACAGGCAGACAACAUGGAAGCAUAAACAGAAACAGUACAUGCAUUACAAAGUGUAACCGAUGCAUUCCAGGCUCAAGACUUUCUCCAACCCCUGAUACUGUUUUGCUGAACAAGACCUUGCUUUAAGGUGCCUAACAUCACAUAACAAGUGAUCCACGCCAAGAAUGCGUCACUUACAGCUCCCAAUACACACAAAAAAAGAGAGGAAGAAGAAACAGAAACGCAAUAAGAAAGGAUAAUGUAGGAGAUAUGAUUAACUAAGAUACCUAGAGAGAGAGAGAUAUGUAUAUAUCUCGGACCAUUACGCCUCAAUUCCCCACUGCACGCUCGCGCCGUAGGCCUCAUCCAUUGCUCCACGGUUGGUAGAGCAGAGGAGACCGUGGUGGGAGCUCCAUGCGAGCCGCUAGCUCGCCGACUUCCUCCUAUCUGCGAGGUGUGUUUCCGGUGGACUCCUCAGCUCUUGGGUCUCCAAAUGCUGGCCAGGUAGCAGCAGCCAGUGCUGUAGAAGCACCAAUGAGCUCCAUUGUUGGGGUAUGAGGAAGAACAAGAAGAUGGGCCAUUUGUUUUUGAGAGGAGAUUGCAAGCUUAGUUGAGGGUGGCAAGAAGACAGUAGAGAAAAGGGUGCUGCUGUUUAUAUAUACUCACACCGCCACACGGAGAGAGAGAGAGUGAGAGAAAGAGAGAGAGAGUGAGUGAGUGAGAGUUCAUUGUAGUAUUGUACCAUGGCACAGUACAUGCUAUGCCCAUUAUGGUUUUGUCUUGGUCCAUAUGCAAUGUCACAG